Molecule: transfer RNA, 71 nt
Filed under: Pyxidicoccus parkwayensis
Lineage: Bacteria; Pseudomonadati; Myxococcota; Myxococcia; Myxococcales; Myxococcaceae
Description: Pyxidicoccus sp. SCPEA002 tRNA-Ala
Rfam family: tRNA
About the family: Transfer RNA (tRNA) molecules are approximately 80 nucleotides in length.
Source: RNAcentral
GGGGCCAUGGCUCAAUGGGAGAGCACCCGGCUGGCGUCCGGGAGAUCCGGGUUCGAUUCCCGGUGGUUCCA